CACGUAGGGUGCGAGCGUUGUCCGGAAUUAUUGGGCGUAAAGAGCUCGUAGGCGGUGUGUCGCGUCGGCCGUGAAAACCUGCAGCUUAACUGUGGGCGUGCGGUCGAUACGGGCAUCACUGGAGUUCGGCAGGGGAGACUGGAAUUCCUGGUGUAGCGGUGAAAUGCGCAGAUAUCAGGAGGAACACCAGUGGCGAAGGCGGGUCUCUGGGCCGAUACUGACGCUGAGGAGCGAAAGCGUGGGGAGCAAACAGG
This 254-nucleotide ribosomal RNA is filed under the name uncultured bacterium. RNAcentral's name for it is "partial 16S ribosomal RNA". It matches the Rfam family "Bacterial small subunit ribosomal RNA", at positions 524 to 776 of the family's 1533-position model. The record is from RNAcentral.